Molecule: long non-coding RNA, 4799 nt
Filed under: Homo sapiens (human)
Lineage: Eukaryota; Metazoa; Chordata; Mammalia; Primates; Hominidae
Description: HSALNT0366997
Source: RNAcentral
AAAGGAAGUACUUAGGACCCAAAGGUUUAACCAGGCUGGUGACACUGAAAUUUACCUAUGCCCUGUGGUUCUGAAAAGUAGCUUUCCAGAAUUCCUCACCCUUUUUGUGUUCUGGGAAAGGGUUUACUGCAAAGAAUCCCCUUCCCAGGUGACACAUGAGACUCAAAAUUCACUCUUUCUCCUAACUCACAUAAGACUCACAAAUGUUUCUGUAUAACAAAGCCAGACCCUGAAAAACUGUCUUUGUUUCAUAAAUAAUUAGCUGAACUGUUUAUCCUCCCAAAACUAGCUUGACACAGAGAUAAACAUUUCUUGUUCAUCUUGUCAGAGGCAUUCGAACCAGAGCAACUUGAAUACUGGCUGGAUAAAAUAAGGCUGAGACCUACUGAAGCAGGACAUUUCACUGACCCCUUUGUGGAACUCGCAACAGGGGUGCCCCGUUUACUCAGCCCACAGCUCUCAACUCCUCAUAGGAGGGAGUGAGCAAGCCAACAAGGCGGGAACUGGAAUACACGAGUGCUAGAAUCAGCUGGCUACUUCAUAGCUGGCAAGAGCAAACUCCACUCACUCAGACCCGCUGCUUUCCACCCCUCGUCGGACAGGGCACACAGGUAACCAAAGAAUCUGACCCAUAGGGUUUCUAACUCACAAAAGGAGGGUCCAACUAUGUGGAAGCUGUCACCUUUGAUGGAAUUUAUCUGAUACCAUAUAACAUAGUGGAAGGAGAGUCAAAGAAUUUGUGGCUAUUUUAAGUCACACAUCAUUUCUUUUUCCAUGCCCCACCCCUGGAACCUUCUCAAGGUGUUUGACUUCAACCAGAGUUGAAGAUCCCCCAUCUGCAAUACUGCUGCACCCCCACCUCAAGCCCCAGCUGAUUGAACCCCAGGUGGAUUCCUGAUUCAGGCAAUCCACAGGCUGGGCUGAAGCAAUCAUGAUGUCUCUCUAAGGAAUAUUAAUUAAAAGCCACAGAGACCCCAGUCAGUUUUAAGGAGGUGUGCCGCCAGAAACCAGGGUCAGCACCAUACCAAACCAAAGUUAUGGAGGAGUAAAAACCAAAAGUCUUGCAGAAGCAGCAGAUUUGGAGACAAAAAAAGCAGAACCCACAUGCAGAAAGAAAAGAGAGGCACCACGUGACCCUUGAGACAAAGUGACAGACAUUCCAGUGCUGCCAGACAGAUUUCCAGUAUCUGUGAGGUCCUGCUGUGCACCAGAGAAGAGAGUUCUGGGAAAACCCCUGCUAUGGGUUGAACUGUAUUCCCCAAACAUUCAUAUGUUGGAGCCUUAACCUCCAGGACCUUAGAAUGGGACCUUACUUGGAAAUAGAGUCAUUGCAGAUGUAAUUAGUUAAGCUGAGUUCCUACUGGAGUAGGGUGGGCCCCUAAUCCAAUAUAUUGUUGUCCUUAUAAAAAGGGGAAGUCUGGAGAAUAGUUAUCCUUCCAAGAUAAACUAUUUGCCAAAUAUGUAACAGAGUAACCAGCCAUUUCCAUAUGGGAUUUCUAGUCAUUUCCCAGUUAAAAAUUAAGGAAUAGGUACACGCAGUAAGAGCACUCAGUGAAGAUGAGGGCAGAGAUCAAGAUGCCACAUCUACAAACCAAGGAACACCAAAGAUUGCCAGAAACUAUCAGAAGCUAGGGGAAAGGCAUGGAACAGUUACUUCUUCACAGCCGUCAGAAGGAACCAACCCUGUUGACACCCGGACCUCAGACGUGAAGCCUCCAGAACCGUGAGAUACAAAAUUCCUGUUGUUUAAGCCACUCAGUUUGUGGUACUUUGUUAUGGCAGCUCUGGAAAAUGAAUAUGACCCCUAUAACUGCAUUUCCAUGUGAGCUCAUUUAAGUGGGUGUCUGUUCCUUGAAGAAGAAAAAUGAUAUGAAUCAAAACAUCCCACCUAAACUGCCUUUGCUCUGAGCAGAGGGAACACCCUCUGGCAGAGCCAGGGUUCUUCUCAGAAAAUUAUUCCCAGUCUCCUCCAGGACUAAGAUAAAUGAAUGAGCAAAGUUUAAAAGUUCUCUUCUAAAGAACAUGGUCAAAAUAGUUUUAGCCUGUAAAAUUUGAAGGCAGAUAAAACCAGAAUUCAGCCUUGGCAGAAUAAACUCUCAAUAAAGUAACCUCAGAUCCUUAGCUCCGAACACCACUUUUUUUUUUCCUGUAUUCCUUCCAAGAUAAACUAUUAGCCAGAUAUGUAACAGAGUAACCAGUCAUUUUUAUAUGGGAUUGUUAUUCAUUGCCCAGUUGAAAAUUAAAGAAUCAGUACAAAAAAAAAAAAAACAAAACACUUUUGUUCUAGGAAAGAGAAUCAGAUAUCCUUUUUUAGCAAUAAUUAACUAGCAAGGUCGUGCUGUCACCACGGUUUUUAAAAUACCCUUUUGUCUUUCAUGGCAAGUGUAUGCAUCUAGACCAUCUGAAAGUGGCUCUAGAACAUGAAAAUAUAAAUGUAAAACAAGAAAGGGGCAGGAAAAGAAUGAGGAGCAGGCAAAACAUAACCACGUGUUGGCUAUUUCUAACUCCCUGGUCCAGGAGUACUCAUUAAUCACUCUAAUCCCACAGAAGUAUAAUGAUUCUGAAUAUCUACAUAUGCCACAAAUUAUCUAAUACUGUUCCUGAUUUACUAGGUGUGGAGUGGCCAUAUAUAAAACCUGACUGUUACUCACAUAAAAUAUUGGCCUGAAACUCUCAGACUUCGAAGCAAGUAGCAGAUUUGGAUGGAAUACACCACAAAUUAAUAAAGCCAUAAUCUAGAGAAGAUUUGGACUGUGCCAGUGUAGAAGUUCUGGUUCCAAGAGGAUGAAUGUUUUCACAGGGGAAUACAGUAAAUUAUGCCUCUUACCGGUCACUUCAGGAUCCAUGUGCCAAGUAAUCAGAACCAAGGAAAGGGUCACAGUGACAGGUGUAAUUGAUCCUGAACAUCACAAAGAAGUAACUGCUCAUGUCAGCAGGAGGAAGACAUUUGGUUCUGGACUUUGACUUGGGACUCCCCUUGCCAAAUGUUGAUGGUAAAUGGACAAAAGCAACAGCCACAUCCUAAGAAAAGCGUGAUGACCAGGAACUCAAAUCUCUAAGAAAGAAGAGUCUAGGCUGUCCACAAGUAAGCCACCAGACCAGCAGAAGUACUAGCUGAGAGUUAAAACAUCUAGAAUGGAUAACAGAGGAGGGAGAAGUCUUCUCAUUCACCGACUGAAGCCUGCCCUGCAUCCAGAGAGCCCACUUAAAGAGACUCUGCAGCUAAGUUUCAAUUCCCGGGAUGGCAAAAAGACUUACUAUAAAAUUAAUUUUCAAAGACAUAUUUAGAAUCCUCUAUUUUCCUAUUCCAGAUGUAAAUUUUAAGAGAUGGUUUGAAGAAAAGGAUCCUUAAUAACGCAGUGAAAUGAAAGGAAGUUACUGCCAACAAGAGACUGUAGUUCAUGUAAAAUAUGUCCCACAUGGGUGUCCAGGGGAAAAGCUAUAGCAGUACAAGCAGUUAUUCUCCUCCUCUGAAAAGUUAUAAAAACAAAGCCAAACAAAAUAACAACAGCAAAACAGUCCACAAACAAAUCAAUGUCUCAGCACUGUCUUCUUUAUUAAAACUUCUGGGAUAUUCCUGAAAUUCUGAAUAUACUGUCUUGUGGUUAUAAAAUGGCAUCCUGGAUUUUAUGGGUUUAUAGCCUAAAUGCAAAAGAUAGAAACAAUAAUGUAUUAUGGUACAGAGUCUCCUACAGUUUUCAAGUAUCAUGUACAUCCUCCGACCUUUAUCUGACUAAAGCAACAGCUCUUUGACAAGAGAAGAUGUGACUAUCCCACAUUCUAAUGUCUUGGAGGAUGUGAGGGCUAGCCCAUCUUUGAAAAGUUAUUUUUAUAGUAACUAGAAGAUGCAGAAACCUCCAAUAAGGCUACAAGGUUGUCUCUCAUCCACUGCAUCCUCAAGUGCUUUAUCACUUGUCAUUUUGAAAAUGAUCAUUAAUCACAGCACUUUGCACACAAGCCAACUUGUAACCUAUGGGCUUUUUACAAACAUAACAAGCUACAUCCAUAAAAUGCAGCUGUUGUGAAGAGAAAUGAGACUGUUCAUCAUAGUAUGAGUUAGCAGUCUAAAACAGGAAGAUAAAGAUGACUAUUACACCCAGUUGAAAAUGCUGGCGUUGUUUUCUUCUUCCUAAACUCUAUUCGAUAUCUCAAGUGUAAGUAUCAGGUAUACAGCAAAUAAACAUACAGGGGCCAAUAUUAAAAAUCAUGAAGAGAUGGAUAUCAAAAAUACAACUGGUAUAUAUAAAUUAGCAUGUAUAUUAUACCAAAAGGCUAAGUUUGUACCUAUGCCCAUACAAACCAACCUAAUCAGUGCUUUUUUAAUUUUAGUUGUCAGUUACAGAAAACAACUCAUUGCAACAAAUAUUGGUUGGAUCCUUCUGGACAAACACUCAUCUCACCUCACACCAACCUGCAAGUUGGACUUAGUACUUUGAAAUAUCACAGACAUCCAAACAUAGAUCACAUAGAUCCAGCUAUUCAAUGUAUGAUCCACACACAAAAAGAUGUGUUAUUGAAGUUUUUGUGAGAAGACUGCAAAGAGGAUUUAUAUUUCUUACAGUGUAGCUAAACUUCCAUUGUCUUUCAAAAUAUUCUCUCUCGAUACAGUCUCUCUUUCUCUCUCCAAGUCCAGCUCUUCCAGUCCCUCCAGUUAAGCUCUGGGACUUAGACCCGAGCUUCCUUUCUUACACGAAAGGAAUUGAGAUGUGUAGCUCCCCAGCCUGUAUGCUUCACCGAUGGGACUAGGUAGCCACCUCCUUGGAAGGCAGAGAAAACUGAAGGAUCAAGUAUUUUAUUGC